CAAACCAAAGCUGGCGACCGGCGCACGGGUGAGUAACACGUAUCCAACCUGCCUCAUACUCGGGGAUAGCCUUUCGAAAGAAAGAUUAAUAUCCGAUAGCAUAUAUUUCCCGCAUGGGUUUUAUAUUAAAGAAAUUCGGUAUGAGAUGGGGAUGCGUUCCAUUAGUUUGUUGGGGGGGUAACGGCCCACCAAGACUACGAUGGAUAGGGGUUCUGAGAGGAAGGUCCCCCACAUUGGAACUGGGACACGGUCCAA
RNAcentral lists this ribosomal RNA (255 nucleotides) under uncultured bacterium. RNAcentral describes it as "partial 16S ribosomal RNA". It matches the Rfam family "Bacterial small subunit ribosomal RNA", at positions 74 to 334 of the family's 1533-position model. The record is from RNAcentral.